UUAAGUUAUUAAGGGCGCACGGUGGAUGCCUUGGCACUAGAAGCCGAUGAAGGACGUUACUAACGACGAUAUGCUUUGGGGAGCUGUAAGUAAGCUUUGAUCCAGAGAUUUCCGAAUGGGGAAACCCAGCAUGAGUUAUGUCAUGUUAUCGAUAUGUGAAUACAUAGCAUAUCAGAAGGCACACCCGGAGAACUGAAACAUCUUAGUACCCGGAGGAAGAGAAAGAAAAUUCGAUUCCCUUAGUAGCGGCGAGCGAAACGGGAAGAGCCCAAACCAACAAGCUUGCUUGUUGGGGUUGUAGGACACUCUAUACGGAGUUACAAAGGACGACAUUAGACGAAUCAUCUGGAAAGAUGAAUCAAAGAAGGUAAUAAUCCUGUAGUCGAAAAUGUUGUCUCUCUUGAGUGGAUCCUGAGUACGACGGAGCACGUGAAAUUCCGUCGGAAUCUGGGAGGACCAUCUCCUAAGGCUAAAUACUCUCUAGUGACCGAUAGUGAACCAGUACCGUGAGGGAAAGGUGAAAAGCACCCCGGAAGGGGAGUGAAAUAGAACCUGAAACCGUGUGCUUACAAGUAGUCAGAGCCCGUUAAUGGGUGAUGGCGUGCCUUUUGUAGAAUGAACCGGCGAGUUACGAUUUGAUGCAAGGUUAAGCAGUAAAUGUGGAGCCGUAGCGAAAGCGAGUCUGAAUAGGGCGUUUAGUAUUUGGUCGUAGACCCGAAACCAGGUGAUCUACCCUUGGUCAGGUUGAAGUUCAGGUAACACUGAAUGGAGGACCGAACCGACUUACGUUGAAAAGUGAGCGGAUGAACUGAGGGUAGCGGAGAAAUUCCAAUCGAACCUGGAGAUAGCUGGUUCUCUCCGAAAUAGCUUUAGGGCUAGCCUCAAGUGAUGAUUAUUGGAGGUAGAGCACUGUUUGGACGAGGGGCCCCUCUCGGGUUACCGAAUUCAGACAAACUCCGAAUGCCAAUUAAUUUAACUUGGGAGUCAGAACAUGGGUGAUAAGGUCCGUGUUCGAAAGGGAAACAGCCCAGACCACCAGCUAAGGUCCCAAAAUAUAUGUUAAGUGGAAAAGGAUGUGGCGUUGCCCAGACAACUAGGAUGUUGGCUUAGAAGCAGCCAUCAUUUAAAGAGUGCGUAAUAGCUCACUAGUCGAGUGACACUGCGCCGAAAAUGUACCGGGGCUAAACAUAUUACCGAAGCUGUGGAUUGUCCUUUGGACAAUGGUAGGAGAGCGUUCUAAGGGCGUUGAAGCAUGAUCGUAAGGACAUGUGGAGCGCUUAGAAGUGAGAAUGCCGGUGUGAGUAGCGAAAGACGGGUGAGAAUCCCGUCCACCGAUUGACUAAGGUUUCCAGAGGAAGGCUCGUCCGCUCUGGGUUAGUCGGGUCCUAAGCUGAGGCCGACAGGCGUAGGCGAUGGAUAACAGGUUGAUAUUCCUGUACCACCUAUAAUCGUUUUAAUCGAUGGGGGGACGCAGUAGGAUAGGCGAAGCGUGCGAUUGGAUUGCACGUCUAAGCAGUAAGGCUGAGUAUUAGGCAAAUCCGGUACUCGUUAAGGCUGAGCUGUGAUGGGGAGAAGACAUUGAGUCUUCGAGUCGUUGAUUUCACACUGCCGAGAAAAGCCUCUAGAUAGAAAAUAGGUGCCCGUACCGCAAACCGACACAGGUAGUCAAGAUUAGAAUUCUAAGGUGAGCGAGCGAACUCUCGUUAAGGAACUCGGCAAAAUGACCCCGUAACUUCGGGAGAAGGGGUGCUCUUUAGGGUUAACGCCCAGAAGAGCCGCAGUGAAUAGGCCCAAGCGACUGUUUAUCAAAAACACAGGUCUCUGCUAAACCGUAAGGUGAUGUAUAGGGGCUGACGCCUGCCCGGUGCUGGAAGGUUAAGAGGAGUGGUUAGCUUCUGCGAAGCUACGAAUCGAAGCCCCAGUAAACGGCGGCCGUAACUAUAACGGUCCUAAGGUAGCGAAAUUCCUUGUCGGGUAAGUUCCGACCCGCACGAAAGGCGUAACGAUUUGGGCACUGUCUCAACGAGAGACUCGGUGAAAUCAUAGUACCUGUGAAGAUGCAGGUUACCCGCGACAGGACGGAAAGACCCCGUGGAGCUUUACUGUAGCCUGAUAUUGAAAUUCGGCACAGCUUGUACAGGAUAGGUAGGAGCCUUUGAAACGUGAGCGCUAGCUUACGUGGAGGCGCUGGUGGGAUACUACCCUAGCUGUGUUGGCUUUCUAACCCGCACCACUUAUCGUGGUGGGAGACAGUGUCAAGCGGGCAGUUUGACUGGGGCGGUCGCCUCCUAAAAGGUAACGGAGGCGCUCAAAGGUUCCCUCAGAAUGGUUGGAAAUCAUUCAUAGAGUGUAAAGGCAUAAGGGAGCUUGACUGCGAGACCUACAAGUCGAGCAGGGUCGAAAGACGGACUUAGUGAUCCGGUGGUUCCGCAUGGAAGGGCCAUCGCUCAACGGAUAAAAGCUACCCCGGGGAUAACAGGCUUAUCUCCCCCAAGAGUUCACAUCGACGGGGAGGUUUGGCACCUCGAUGUCGGCUCAUCGCAUCCUGGGGCUGUAGUCGGUCCCAAGGGUUGGGCUGUUCGCCCAUUAAAGCGGUACGCGAGCUGGGUUCAGAACGUCGUGAGACAGUUCGGUCCCUAUCCGUCGUGGGCGUAGGAAAUUUGAGAGGAGCUGUCCUUAGUACGAGAGGACCGGGAUGGACAUACCUCUGGUGUACCAGUUGUCGUGCCAACGGCAUAGCUGGGUAGCUAUGUGUGGACGGGAUAAGUGCUGAAAGCAUCUAAGCAUGAAGCCCCCCUCAAGAUGAGAUUUCCCAACUUCGGUUAUAAGAUCCCUCAAAGAUGAUGAGGUUAAUAGGUUCGAGGUGGAAGCAUGGUGACAUGUGGAGCUGACGAAUACUAAUCGAUCGAAGACUUAAUCAA
This 2921-nucleotide ribosomal RNA is filed under the name Staphylococcus aureus DAR3613. RNAcentral describes it as "bacterial LSU rRNA". It matches the Rfam family "Bacterial large subunit ribosomal RNA". Lineage: Bacteria; Bacillati; Bacillota; Bacilli; Caryophanales; Staphylococcaceae. The record is from RNAcentral.